Molecule: ribosomal RNA, 400 nt
Filed under: uncultured bacterium
Lineage: Bacteria
Description: partial 16S ribosomal RNA
Rfam family: Bacterial small subunit ribosomal RNA
Source: RNAcentral
CCUACGGGAGGCAGCAGUGAGGAAUAUUGGUCAAUGGACGCAAGCCUGAACCAGCCACGCCGCGUGCAGGAAGAAGGCUCUAUGAGUUGUAAACUGCUUUUGUACGAGGGUAAACGCAGAUACGCGUACCCGUAUGACAGUAUCGUACGAAUAAGGAUCGGCUAACUCCGUUCCAGCAGCCGCGGUAAUACGGAGGAUCCAAGCGUUAUCCGGAUUUAUUGGGUUUAAAGGGUGCGUAGGCGGUCGGAUAAGUCAGAGGUGAAAUCCCGAGGCUCAACUUCGGAAUUGCCUCUGAUACUGUGCGGCUAGAGAGUAGUUGCGGUAGGCGGAAUGUGUGGUGUAGCGGUGAAAUGCUUAGAGAUCAUGCAGAACACCGAUUGCGAAGGCAGCUUACCAAGCU